RNA transcript from Ornithodoros turicata, 3733 nucleotides. RefSeq lists it as uncharacterized. The record is from RefSeq and is a predicted model, not a curated record. NCBI's taxonomy places the organism in Eukaryota, Metazoa, Arthropoda, Arachnida, Ixodida, Argasidae. The transcript has 9 exons.
UCAUGCAAUGUACAUAUGUUAGCCACUAUUCCGCACGAAGUCGAAGAUGUACCUUGUACCAGUCUUAUUCUCCGUUGUAUUUCCUGCUGCUGUCAACAGUGCUAGGAAAGGCGGCGACUGUAAACCAGAGGCAAAGGACCAAGUUGCAUGGCAGGUGGUGAAGGCCCUCGAGGAGGAGACCUUCUAUCUCUUCAAGGCAACUAACGACGCCAUGAGCACAUGUAUGUACAUGAAGGUAAAUGAGACGAAGAAUAACACUGGGACAUUGCUCGCCACUACCGGAUAUGGGCGAAGCGAAGAGGCAACAACCGUUGUUGGAGUGGGGAAUCGCCUCCAGGUGGGCAGCGAAGAAUACGCUGCCCUUCCUGUAUUGUACACCGACAACUCCACCUGUAGUGUUUUUACCUCACCAGAUGAAAACGGUGGUGUCCUUCUGUGGGUCGCUGGCAGCACUGGAGCAAACGCUACUUUUCAUCAGUGCUGCAAGAAAGUCUUCAAAAGGGAAGCGAAGAAAGCGAACCACACCAUAUACCACAAGUUCUCCAAGGCGUGCCUCAAGCCUCCUACGUCUCGGUUAACUGAGUGCUUUUUGUCAGAUGUUAUUCCUGUUGAUCUUGUGUGAACGAAAAAGAAAUGUGACCGUGAAGUGCACAUGCUCACUUUCUAACACGCAAUUUAGUUCGCAGAACUGGCAUUAUGCAGGAUGUUCCAACUAACAUUCAUCAAGAGAGAGAGAGAGACUCCGGGUAUUUCGCGAAUGAGACCUACCGAAUGUUUUUGGCCGUCGUGCAUAAGAGCGUCCAACCUUUUUUCCUUUUUGUUGUUGUUGUUGCUCAUUACGUUUCUUUUUACAGAAAGGGCCGUGAAAAGAGACUAUGUAAUGUUUUUGGUAGUAGUUUAUACGAGCAGGUGGACAUUCACUCGGAGACAGUAGGAAAGUACGAAAUGACUCGUUACCUAACAUGAAAUUCUUACUGUUUAAUAUGGGGAACCUGGGCAAAACCGAGACUGUAUACAACUCGGCACAGCGAAUGAAUUCCUUUCGUUCAUUUUUUUAAAAACCUGAAACAAAUAAAGACGUUGAAAUAUGAGUUGCCGAAUUUUGGAAUGCAAAGGAGCCGAAACCGAAAGGAGAGCGGACAAACCGUGGACAACGAAACAACAACAGGUGAAAUAAAUAUUCUAACGAGCGAGAAUAUUCUAGCGAGACUCUCUCAAAGAUGGUAUUACGUUUAUGUAUGCAUUAGGUGGUAUUUAUCAGUGAUGGCCAGUAGUUAAUUACAUGUAGUUAAACUACUAGUCAAACUACCUGAUUGUAGUUCAAAAGUAAUUAUGAACUACUGGCAGAAAUGUAGUGUGCAACUACUAGUUAAACUACUAUUUCGAGUAGUUAGCUACUGUUGUUAGGUUACUGCAGGCGCCAACUACUUCCGAUUUUGCCGCAAGCUUUACGGCACGACUGUGCUUCCGACUUUUACCUUGAGCUACUUGUUUGAUGAGAACGGAGGUGCAGAGCAGUUGUGCCGUGCAUGUGUACUAAAUCUUCACUUUGAUCGCUGCUUGUGAUUCAUAUUUACGUGUCCAAGGACACUAUAGAAUGGGAUUGGCGUUGAAGGACAACGUUAAGUAGUUAGACAGGUAGUUAAAAUAUAUUGCAGUAGUUCAAGAAAUAAUUUUAAGUGCCUCCGCGAAGUAGUUAGUAGUUAGAGUUAAACCACUGUAGAAGUAGUUAGCGGCCAUCACUGGUAUUUAUAUCCCAACUAAACGUAUGGAAAACAUCUGUAGGAGUUUCAAUUGUGUCAAGAAACAGUCUCAGUCUUCCUGGAAUACAAGGAGUUUCCUGCUGCUUUUCUGAUGUGUUUUAAUUAUACGCAUUUUUCUUCUGUGGCAGUGAUGUUAGAACAAUCAAAGUUUCAUGUCAGACAUGCAAAGUGCUCUUUUGAUGGUGACCUUUUCAUUUCUAUUCCACUUCAUUUCCCGCACGUGCUACAUUGGCCCGAAGGUCGGGGAGCUAAUGAAAUAUGCGCAGUUUUGGAACGAGACAUUACGUACACACGUUGAAACUUUCCACCCAUCAUCACGAAAUAAAGUUGUUGUCGUUGCUUUACGCAGUGCAUGGCACCAACGAUUUUUUCGUACGUUUCCUUGGCACAAAAUUGUUUACUGUGUGGUAACGGAAGCCUGUCUCUCGAGUAGAUAUAGCGUGACGCGCGAAGUGGCGCAUUUUUUUUUUUCGUAUUUGUAUCUGCUCCCCGAUAGUUCCCCACAGCUGACUUCCGAUAGUUUUCUUAUUAUCGUAGUUCGAUCACGCAACUAUAAAUAGUAUCGAUAGUUUUCUUACUAUAGAUGGUUCAAUUCUCAUAAGACUAUCAACAAUAUCGAUAGUACUAUGGAUAGUUUUCUUCCUAUGGAGAGCCAUAUCGAUAGAUGUCUUACUACCGAUAGUUCGAUUCUCAUACGACUAUCAAUAAUGCCGAUAGUACAUAGUUUUCUUAGUCGAGAGUGCUAUCGAUAGAUGCCUUAUACUACCGAUAGUUCAAUUCUCAUACGACUAUCAAUAAUAUCGAUAGUACAUAGAUAGUUUUCCUCCUAUCGAGAGUCCGCUAUCGAUAGAUGUCUUACUACCGAUAAUUCGAUUCUCAUACGACUAUCAACAAUAUAUAUAGUACUACAGAUAUUUUUCAUAAUGUCGACAGUGAUAUCGAUAGAUUUCUUACUAUCGACGGUUCGAUUCUCAUACCACUAUCGAUAGCGUUGCACCACUACUCGGCAGCACGUUUCUCAAACAAGGUAACGAACAAUGGCACGUGUUCUAGGCAGGCAGGAAGUGGCCAUUAUGUGUUAAAACUGGAAUUGAUAUGUCAAGAUGUAUACGUUGAAGGCUGUCAUCGCGUGAUGGGCGCCUUCCGUAUGUUUACAAAGGAUAAAUAUCAUCCAAUACAUAUAUAUACGGCAAGUACACACGCGCACUCGCAAACGAACACCUUUCUUGAGGGUUCCUUGAAAGCAGCGCGCGAAAGAUGUACCUUACAGCCGUCUUGUUCUGUGUUUCACUCAUUGCUGCUGCGGGCAGUGCAAAGGAAAAAAAAGAAUGUCAACUCGAGGCAAAGGACCAAGUCGCAUGGGAGGUAGUGAAGGCUUUGGAGCGGCAGACCUUUUAUCUGUUCAAGUCAACUAACGCCCAGUCGCCAAAUUGUUCAUACAUGAGGGUCAAUGAAACGAAAGAGAAGGAUCAUACAGCGACGUUGGUGGUUAGAAGCGGGGGAGAGUGGAAUGAAACAUCUGCAGCAACAGUUGUUGGAAAAGACAAUCACCUCAACAUGACCCUCGAAGAAGACGGUGCUUCUGAAGUCCUAGGUUCCUAUCCUGUAUGGUACACCGACAACGUCACCUGUGUCGUUCUUGUCGACCCAGAGGAGAACGAAAUCGUUCUCUGGGUCGCUGGUAACACUACAACAGACGCUUCUUUUGACGAGUGCUGCACGAACAUCUUCGAAAGGGAAGCGAAUAACACAAACGGGACCAUAUACGAGAGGUUCCCCGCGAGCUGCCCUUUAUAUAAAGCGUCGGAUGUGGAAGAAAUCGAAGACAUCGAUUCUUCUACGUCUUCUACGACCUCUACGUCUUCGUGAACUGAUCGCCUUUUGUCAGACACUUUUUUUUCUCGAAACCUAGAAGUGCUUGAUGUAAAAUAAAAUUUAGAAAAAAAAAAAAAACAUGAAGUGCACAUACA